UACGUAGGGGGCGAGCGUUGUCCGGAAUUACUGGGCGUAAAGGGCGCGCAGGCGGCCGUGUAAGUCCGCUGUGAAAGACCGGGGCUCAACCCCGGGGUGUCAGCGGGGACUGCACGGCUGGAGUCCCGGAGGGGGAGGCGGAAUACCUGGUGUAGCGGUGGAAUGCGUAGAGAUCAGGUGGAACACCGAUGGCGAAGGCAGCCUCCUGGACGGGUACUGACGCUGAGGCGCGAAAGCGUGGGGAGCGAACGGG
This 253-nucleotide ribosomal RNA is filed under the name uncultured bacterium. Its description in RNAcentral is "partial 16S ribosomal RNA". It matches the Rfam family "Bacterial small subunit ribosomal RNA", at positions 524 to 776 of the family's 1533-position model. The record is from RNAcentral.